UUAAAAACAUGCAUUUGGUUAUAAAUAUAUAUAAAACCCAUUUCAUUACCUUAUCUAUUCGGCUAACACAACUCAUUUGUACAUAUUCGUAAACUUACAAAUAACUAACAAAACUAUAUAGUUAUACACAUAUACAUGUCCACCAUAAUAUAAACGCAUAUAUAUACAUGUAAAGACAUAUAAGAGCUCAACUAUGAUAUCAUGACUAAAUACCAAAACAUAC
Molecule: long non-coding RNA, 223 nt
Filed under: Gossypium barbadense (sea-island cotton)
Lineage: Eukaryota; Viridiplantae; Streptophyta; Magnoliopsida; Malvales; Malvaceae
Description: long non-coding RNA (GBAR_LNC012302)
Source: RNAcentral